GACGAACGCUGGCGGCGUGCUUAACACAUGCAAGUCGAACGGAAAGGCCUUUUCGGAGGUACUCGAGUGGCGAACGGGUGAGUAACACGUGGGUGAGCUGCCCUGCACUCUGGGAUAAGCCUGGGAAACUGGGUCGAAUACCGGAUAGGACCGCACUUCGGUGGGUGUGGUGGAAAGCGUUUUCGGUGUCGGAUAAGGCCGCGGCCUAUCAGCUUGUUGGUGGGGUAAUGGCCUACCAAGGCGGCGACGGGUAGCCGGGCCGAGGGGUUGGGCGGCCACAUUGGGGCUGGGAUCAGGCCCCGACCCCUACGGGGGGCAGCAGGGGGGGAAUUUUGACAAGGGGCGCAAGCCUGAUGCAGCGACGCCGCGUGGGGGAUGACGGGCUUCGGGUUGGAAACUCCUUUCGCCAGGGACGAAGCGUUUUGUGACGGUACCUGGAGAAGAAGCACCGGCUAACUACGUG
Molecule: ribosomal RNA, 463 nt
Filed under: uncultured bacterium
Lineage: Bacteria
Description: partial 16S ribosomal RNA
Rfam family: Bacterial small subunit ribosomal RNA
Source: RNAcentral